UCAUUACUGAUGUUUGAAUGUUUGAAUGAGUUGGUUUUCCUCCUAUGCAUGAAAUUGUGGAUCUGAGAUUAGAGAUUUGCGGAUUCGUGAUUUUGGUUUUAUGGAUAGUUGAUUCUCGAUUUAUAUAUUUACGAAUUUAUACAUUGUGGUUUUCUACCCCUUGAGGUAGUCGAUUUUCAAAAUAGAGUUUUCGUGUGGAAAAUAGUUUUUACAAUGUUUUCAAAUUGGUUUUUGUGAAUGUUUGAAUUAGAUUUUUAAAAGCAAAGCUUUCGGGUGGGGAGCACUUUUAAUAGGAUGACUGUUGUAUUAUUCAUUGCAUCAUCCAGCGCCUAAGGAGUACUUAGAGGUAUGCAUUAUCUCUAAGGAUUGCUAGCUGUAUGAAAAUGCAUGGCAUGAUGAUUGUUGAUUGGUAAAUAUAGAUUGUGGUUGAGAUUCUGAUGUACUGUUGGUAUGCCGUGCAAAUACAAAUGAGACUCUAUCCGAGUGGGUAGAGGAAUUUUGUAUUUGUGGUAGAUCUGUACGACACGUGGGCCAAGUUGGAGAAAAAAAGGCACGUUUUUCGCAAUUCUCAUUUCAAACAUGGUAAUGGAUUUUAAAAAGGCUUUUAUAAUCGGCCCCGGGGCGUGACAGAUUAAGAUGGUAUCAGAGAGUGAAACAAUUACAACUACAUUUGCAAGUUUUCUAACUG
Molecule: long non-coding RNA, 688 nt
Filed under: Ananas comosus (pineapple)
Lineage: Eukaryota; Viridiplantae; Streptophyta; Magnoliopsida; Poales; Bromeliaceae
Description: long non-coding RNA (ACOM_LNC003190)
Source: RNAcentral